AUAAAUUUGUUUUUGAUGCAUCUUACAUAAACCUAUGCAACUUGAAGGGGAUUUUCAUAACUAGAGCUUUGAUAUUAUUUGAUAACAUGCUUCCGUUGCUUUCGUAUAUAAAUCUUGAAUUGUAUAUGCAUGCUAGUCACUAGAAAUCCCACAUGAAUCUCAUAGAAUUCCCUUUCAAGUGGUAUCAGAGCCAAAGGUUUAUGUAUGAUGUGUCCUUUUGGAUUUUAUGCAUAUGGGUUUUAAUAUGAUGUAUGACAUAUUAUUUCUUCAUUCAAAGUAUGUUUAUCUUUUGUUUUUCAAAUGUUGAAAAAUGUGAAUCAAGAGUUGAAAAAGAUACGCAUGCAAAAAGGUGUUUUGGAUGCAUGAAUGAAGAUUGAGUUUUGAACAAAAUUUGGGGUUUUGUUCCAUAGGGGAGGGCACGGUUUUGGGGGUGGUUUUGGCUUGUGUUUGUGUUUUAUUGUAAACCACUCACACAUCCUUUUUAAAGCUAGAAAGAAGAGAUCUUGUCACUUUUGGUUUUGGGUUUGAAAAAUCACCAAGAAUGUACAAAUCUUGAAAUAGUGUUCAUGGUUUUGUUCUUGGUGUUCAUGGUUUUGUUCUUGGUGUUCAUGGUUUUGGUUUUGGUGAAAAUGGUUUUGUUUUGUGUUGGUGAAAAUGGUUUUGUUUUGUGUUCUUACUUCAUUAUUUGGUUUUAGAUGGUAUACUUACCAUCCAUAGCCUUCCCAAAUAUUUAAUAAAUCCUAGACUUGACUAGGUGAAUUUUCAUCACUUUUUCUUAAAGUCCUUAAAGCCUAAGUCAAGUGACAAGUAAAAUUUGGAUUUUUUCUACAUUAUGUUGAUUUAAUGCUUUGUGUAAGAAACCUCUCAUCCCCAUUAUGUGGCCGGCCUCCCUAGUGGAUUUAUCCACUUGUGGGGCUAUUUUGUAUUUUUGAAAAGUUGAUAUUUACUUUCAAGUAUUUACGGUUUGACCCCUAACUUUUUGUAUUUGCAUUUAGGCCCCUACUAACUAGAAAGUUUAAAUAUUUGAUUUUAAUUUUGUUAGUUGUUUAAACUCAUAUUAAUAUUAUGCCCAUAUGCACUAAAUCUAAAUGUUUAUGUUGCAUUCCAUAUGAUUAUUUAAUGUGAUUAAGUAGUUAGAAAAAUGGGUGACUAUGGACUUAUGCCUUAAACGAUAAUUGAGCUAUGAGAUAAGGCGCUAAACUCAAAUUGUUUGAACUUUGGGAAUGUGUUUUAAUUACUGUUUCAUUUGGACCUUGUCACGUUGGACAUUAAUCUAUCUCUCCCUCUUAGUAUAUGUAAUUUGUAGGAAUUUGAACAAAUCGUUUUGUAAUUCUUAUUACUUCUUAAUCUCUUUUAGUUAGUUGAUUCCCUCUAGUGCUAGACUAGAGUUUCUUUAACUAUUGGUAAGGAGACAUAACUAAAAGAGGGUUUUUGACAUGAGAUUAAAGAUUAAAUGGGUCCAACGCCCUAAUUAGCAAUGAAUGAUCGUCUUUCAUUUCUAAUGGCUCAAUGAAAAUGUUUUAAUUGGAUUGAAAAGCACGUAAUUAAAUUGACACAACCUCCCCGAGUUCUUAUUCAACAAUGUUGGCUCAUUGUUGCAAUAACCUAAUAAGUCCAUGGUCAUCCAAGAGCCUAAGAUAAAUAUAAAGUCCAAAUUCAAAGGAAUGCAAAAACCGUAGUAGUAGUAGUUACUUCCAAUAUUUGAAAAGUUCAUUUUUUGAUAUUGAUUUGUUUUUCUUAA
Molecule: long non-coding RNA, 1741 nt
Filed under: Malus domestica (apple)
Lineage: Eukaryota; Viridiplantae; Streptophyta; Magnoliopsida; Rosales; Rosaceae
Description: long non-coding RNA (MDOM_LNC013100)
Source: RNAcentral